Molecule: non-coding RNA, 784 nt
Organism: Pimephales promelas (fathead minnow)
Lineage: Eukaryota; Metazoa; Chordata; Actinopteri; Cypriniformes; Leuciscidae
Source: RefSeq, a predicted model, not a curated record
GUUUCUUUUCAUAUGUGCAGGAUUUGCUGUCUGAGCUGUCUAAUGUGGCUUAUGUUGACAUUCUUGAUGGAGAUGCGGAGGGUCAUGUUCGCUUCAAGAGCCCUGAAGAUGCACAGAAAGUCAUCACAGCCCAAUCAGAAUUUCAGAAAAAAUACAACUGGAAUCUUGAACUACUCUUAGGUGAUCAUGAGCAGAGGUACUGGCAGAAGAUUUUGGUGGACCGACAAGCAAAGCUAAACAGUCCAAGAGAAAAAAAGCGUGGAACAGAAAAGCUCAUUUCUAAAGCUGAGAAAAUCAUCAUUGCUCGGACGAAGGAAGCUAGCAAGCACUUCCACUUUGAUGACUAACAGUAUGAGCAAUAAUUCCUUCAACAACAAAAAAGUUAAAAGCUAUUUUAAAUGACCUUGCCAAUGAAUUGUAAAAUGUUUCUUAUGCUUGGUGUUGAUCAGACCUGUUAUCUUAUUAUAAGAAUGUUCAGUAAUGAAUGAGUUUCAAUGUGGAAUUUCCUUUCAGAAUAAAGACGUCUGUCAUAUCCACCUUUAUUAUUUUUAUAUGCUUUACAGACUUUUUUGUUUUGUUUGCAUGAGACAUUUUAAGUUGUUUACAUAUUUGGUUUGGAGUCUAGUGUAAAGAAUGUAUGUAUGCAAUAUGUAGUGUGCCAUCUUUUCUGAAUGAAACAAGCAGGAUUACAUACAUUUUGAUGGCCAUUGAAGGCUCCAAAAUCAAUCAAUAUAAUGUUUGUAUAUUGGCUUUUUAAUUACUUUUUUUUUUUUAAUAAAAUGUA